CAGCAGCCGCGGUAAUACGGAGGGUGCAAGCGUUAAUCGGAAUUACUGGGCGUAAAGCGCACGCAGGCGGUCUGACAAGUCAGAUGUGAAAUCCCCGGGCUUAACCUGGGAACUGCAUUUGAAACUGUCAGGCUGGAGUCUUGUAGAGGGGGGUAGAAUUCCAGGUGUAGCGGUGAAAUGCGUAGAGAUCUGGAGGAAUACCGGUGGCGAAGGCGGCCCCCUGGACAAAGACUGACGCUCAGGUGCGAAAGCGUGGGGAGCAAACAGGAUUAGAUACCCCGGUAGUCCCUGUCUCUUAUAA
RNAcentral lists this ribosomal RNA (301 nucleotides) under uncultured bacterium. Its description in RNAcentral is "partial 16S ribosomal RNA". It matches the Rfam family "Bacterial small subunit ribosomal RNA", at positions 509 to 809 of the family's 1533-position model. The record is from RNAcentral.